GGCGGUUUGAUCAUGGCUCAGAGCGAACGCUGGCGGCAGGCCUAACACAUGCAAGUCGAGCGGUCGUAGCAAUACGGCAGCGGCAGACGGGAGAGUAACACGUGGGAACGCGCCCUUCGGUUCGGAAUAACUCAGGGAAACUUGGGCUAAUACCGGAUACGCCCUUACGGGGAAAGAUUUAUUGCCGAAGGAACGGCCCGCGUCCGAUUAGCUUGUUGGUGAGGUAAUGGCUCACCAAGGCGACGAUCGGUAGCUGGUCUGAGAGGAUGACCAGCCUCACUGGGACUGAGACACGGCCCAGACUCCUACUGGAGGCAGCAGUGGGGAAUAUUGGACAAUGGGCGCAAGCCUGAUCCAGCCAUGCCGCGUGGGUGAUGAAGGCCUUAGGGUUGUAAAGCCCUUUCGGCGGGGAAGAUAAUGACGGUACCCGCAGAAGAAGCCCCGGCUAACUUCGUGCCAGCAGCCGCGGUAAUAACCUAAAUAGC
Molecule: ribosomal RNA, 485 nt
Filed under: uncultured bacterium
Lineage: Bacteria
Description: bacterial SSU rRNA
Rfam family: Bacterial small subunit ribosomal RNA
Source: RNAcentral